UUCCAGUCAUCACAGAGGCUUAAAGAUUAGGAAUUUGCUCAGGUCAAAGAGCCAUUAAAAGGAAAAGCCAAGGGGCUUAUCCAUUGCGCUCCGAAUGUGCUGACUCUUGCCAUUUCCUCAAAUGUGGGAAACUCGGCUGCAUAAUUUGUGGUAGUGGGGGACUGCAUCUGUACGCUCCCCUG
This 182-nucleotide small nuclear RNA is filed under the name Microtus ochrogaster (prairie vole). RNAcentral describes it as "U1 spliceosomal RNA (ENSMOCG00000003366.1)". It matches the Rfam family "U1 spliceosomal RNA", at positions 23 to 166 of the family's 166-position model. From Rfam's summary of the family: U1 is a small nuclear RNA (snRNA) component of the spliceosome (involved in pre-mRNA splicing). Lineage: Eukaryota; Metazoa; Chordata; Mammalia; Rodentia; Cricetidae. The record is from RNAcentral.